ACGGCGAGUGAAGCGGUAAAGCUCAAAUUUGAAAUCUGGUACUUUCAGUGCCCGAGUUGUAAUUUGUAGAAUUUGUCUUUGAUUAGGUCCUUGUCUAUGUUCCUUGGAACAGGACGUCAUAGAGGGUGAGAAUCCCGUUUGGCGAGGAUACCUUUUCUCUGUAAGACUUUUUCGAAGAGUCGAGUUGUUUGGGAAUGCAGCUCAAAGUGGGUGGUAAAUUCCAUCUAAAGCUAAAUAUUGGCGAGAGACCGAUAGCGAACAAGUACAGUGAUGGAAAGAUGAAAAGAACUUUGAAAAGAGAGUGAAAAAGUACGUGAAAUUGUUGAAAGGGAAGGGCAUUUGAUCAGACAUGGUGUUUUUUGCAUGCACUCGCCUCUCGUGGGCUUGGGCCUCUCAAAAAUUUCACUGGGCCAACAUCAAUUCUGGCAGCAGGAUAAAUCAUUAAGAAUGUAGCUACUUCGGUAGUGUUAUAGCUUUUUGGAAUACUGUUAGCCGGGAUUGAGGACUGCGCUUCGGCAAGGAUGUUGGCAUAAUGGUUAAAUGCCGCCCGUCUU
RNAcentral lists this ribosomal RNA (554 nucleotides) under Hanseniaspora sp. RNAcentral's name for it is "eukaryotic LSU rRNA". It matches the Rfam family "Eukaryotic large subunit ribosomal RNA", at positions 86 to 655 of the family's 3401-position model. The record is from RNAcentral. Lineage: Eukaryota; Fungi; Ascomycota; Saccharomycetes; Saccharomycodales; Saccharomycodaceae.